CAGAGAUCAUGCCCUCACGGGUAGACCUCCCACCCUGUGUUACUUACGUUUGUUGCUUUGGCAGGUCGCCUUCGGGCACUCGGCUCUCGCUGAGGUGCGCCUGCCAGAGGACCCACAACUCUGUGUUUAGUGUUGUCUGAGUACUAUAUUUAAUACGUUA
RNAcentral lists this unclassified non-coding RNA (160 nucleotides) under uncultured fungus. Its description in RNAcentral is "sequence contains ITS1, 5.8S rRNA gene". The record is from RNAcentral. Lineage: Eukaryota; Fungi.